CUGAUCUCAUGGACACCCGGUAGGGGCACUCUGAUUUAUAACGCUUCUGCCGAGGGCUUUGAUGUAAAUCACAAAGUGAGCUGCAGUACACCUGGCUCCACCUGCAAUGUGACCAACCUGCAAUGUGGCAGCCGUUACCAAGUCAGUGUGAGAGGAGAAGGGCUCACCUGCCCCGGCCAGUCAGAUGACUGGAUUGGCCUCAAGACAGCACCAUGUCCACCUACUCAGGUGUCCAUCCAGUCAUCCUGUGACUCAGACACUGUGUCCGUUUCCUGGCAAACCUCUCAGGGAUCUGUGUCCUACAUGGCUGUUGCCGAGAGCAGUGAAGGUCACAGGGCAACUUGCAACACCAGCCAUCUCACCUGUGAUAUUACAGGCCUGCAGUGUGGACAGACUUAUCAAAUGUAUGUUUCUGGUGUGGAUGGCAACUGUAUUGGAUCCAGAAGUGAAGUUCGCAUUCUUGAAACAGCCCCUUGUGUACCUCAGAACGUGCAAACUAUCCUGGAGUGUCAAGCUACUGUUCUCAACAUUACCUGGCAGCAGACAGGUCAAGCCCAUCACUACCACGCCACAGUGCGGAGCAGCAAUGGUCAAGUGCUGGGGUGUGACUCUAAUACAACCUUCUGCCAAGUACCCAACAUCCUUUGCGGACUGACUUACAGUGUGGCAGUGGUCGCCUAUAGCCAAACCUGCAACAGUUCCCAAAGCUCUGUGCAACAUGUCAAC
This 726-nucleotide long non-coding RNA is filed under the name Sinocyclocheilus grahami. RNAcentral describes it as "lncRNA (ENSSGRG00000009861.1)". The record is from RNAcentral. Lineage: Eukaryota; Metazoa; Chordata; Actinopteri; Cypriniformes; Cyprinidae.